RNAcentral lists this ribosomal RNA (511 nucleotides) under Anaplasma bovis. RNAcentral describes it as "bacterial SSU rRNA". It matches the Rfam family "Bacterial small subunit ribosomal RNA", at positions 90 to 636 of the family's 1533-position model. The record is from RNAcentral. Lineage: Bacteria; Pseudomonadati; Pseudomonadota; Alphaproteobacteria; Rickettsiales; Anaplasmataceae.
AAUUAGUGGCAGACGGGUGAGUAAUGCAUAGGAAUCUACCUAGUAGUAUAGGAUAGCCACUAGAAGUGGUGGGUAAUACUGUAUAUUCCCUGCGGGGGAAAGAUUUAUCGCUACAUGAUGAGCCUAUGUUAGAUUAGCUAGUUGGUGGGGUAAUGGCCUACCAAGGCAGUGAUCUAUAGCUGGUCUGAGAGGAUGAUCAGCCACACUGGAACUGAGACACGGUCCAGACUCCUACGGGAGGCAGCAGUGGGGAAUAUUGGACAAUGGGCGCAAGCCUGAUCCAGCUAUGCCGCGUGAGUGAGGAAGGCCUUAGGGUUGUAAAACUCUUUCAGUGGGGAAGAUAAUGACGGUACCCACAGAAGAAGUCCCGGCAAACUCCGUGCCAGCAGCCGCGGUAAUACGGAGGGGGCAAGCGUUGUUCGGAAUUAUUGGGCGUAAAGGGCAUGUAGGUGGUUUGGUAAGUUAAAGGUGAAAUGCCAGGGCUUAACCCUGGAGCUGCUUUUAAUACUGC